This 2373-nucleotide long non-coding RNA is filed under the name Manihot esculenta (cassava). RNAcentral describes it as "long non-coding RNA (MESC_LNC002242)". The record is from RNAcentral. Lineage: Eukaryota; Viridiplantae; Streptophyta; Magnoliopsida; Malpighiales; Euphorbiaceae.
UAAUCCUAAGAGAGUAAGAAAAAAAUUAGCCCUAAUGUGCCUCUAUCAAGGACUGGCUGAAAACUUGCUUAGCCUAACACCCUAUAUAGGUCCAUCUAAUAUAUAUUGCACUUGCAUAACAUCAACAUAAGACCCAUAAAGUUAGUGCGGCACAUAAGGCCUAAAACUAUAUCUAAACAACUAAACUAGCAAUACUUAAGCAAAUAAGAUAGCAUAAGUUUAAUAUAAACAAAUGGGCUUACAAAAUAUAUCAUUAAGGUCCAAACAACAUGUAUAAUACGUCCUCCAAGACUACCCAUGAGUUGUGCACAUGCCCUGCACAUACUCUUUAAGUUGCAAAUACAUAGCACAAUUUUUUUCAAAUCUGCCCACUUGAUUUGAUAGACUUAUACACCUUCUAAUUAGGCCCAAUAGACUUAAAUUUUCACAAAAUCUUUCCUUAAUUUUCACUUUAAACUUUCUUUUGUGUAGUUUUAGCCCGUAUAUUUGAUUAUUCUCCUUAAUCCCACAAUUGUAAGUAUUGCAUUAAAUUUGCCCCAUAUGAAUUGAAUCAUGCCCCAAGUGUAUUUAAAUUAUAUAAAUAUGAUUUUUGAACUAUUUUUAGACCCAUUUGAAUAAUAUAAGGUUGCUCCAUACCAUUGUUGCAAAUAUCCUAUAUCAUUCCCUCCUUUUUUAGAAAAGAUUCACCCUCGAAUAUUGCUCAUGUUCAUAAAAGGAAUGGAAGUUUUAGGAACCAAUACAUCUUCAAAUACUUCAUCUUGAAUAGGUUGAAAUAGCAUGAAACUCUCUUCAUGGAUAUUCUCAUCAACAACCUGUAUAUCAAGAACAAAAGAAUUAGGUAUAACAAUGUUACUCAUAGAAAUAUCAUGUGAAUGUGACCCAUUCUCCUUUACAAUUUCCAAAACAACCCAUUUGCCUCCUUCACCUAAUCAAUCAUGUCCUCCCAUGUCCACCAUAAUUUACAGCCUCUUCUUUAAGCUCAUUGAUGGAAUUUUCAGCAACAAUGUCACUAACUUCAUGAAUUACAACUUUCUCUUCAAUUUCAAUCUCUAUGAAAGUUGAAAUUGAAAUUUUAGCAUCUUCUUUCUCCUUUUCUUUUUUCAUCCUCCUCUUUCUUACCUCCUCUCUUUUUAUCAACAAACCUCUUUAUCUCUAACUUUGUUUCACGUAAAUUUUCUUCAUAAUCAUGAAGCUCCUUGUAGAAAUAUAAUAUUUUGAUGUUGUUGUAUUUCAUAAUAAAAAAUACAACCUAUUUAUAUAUAAAAGACGGUAUCUAAACAGGAAAGAAAAUCAAGUCUAUGAUUAUACAAUCCCUAAGAUUAAGCAACUAACUCAUCUAUCAAUAUUUACUUCCUAUAUUAAUAUAUUUACUUCGUAUAAUCUAUAACAGUCCCCUCCAAGUUGGAGCAUAAAUGUUAAUCAUGCCCAACUUGUUACAUAUAUAAUCAACUUGUCACAUACAACUUAGCAGACACCGAAUUUGUGAACCCAACUUCUUCCAAUAAUUGACGUACCCACAAAACUUCACAAACGGCUUUUGCCAUGACUCAACAUUCAGGUUCAGCACUAGAACGGGAGACCACAUUUUCUCAGCUUGGUAAAACGUCUUACACACAUCAUAAAUACGAGAAAUAUUCCCUUUGCCAGAAUAUAGAAAUUACAAACACUCUAUUAAUUCUUUAACAAAUUCAGAAUGAUUAAUAAGACUAAUCACCUUACUGUGAAUAGAAUUUUGAAUCCUUGAACAGUCAUGACUCGUUAACAAUACUCGAUGAAUCGUGAACAAUACCUGAUGAACAGAGCCCUAAAUCUCUAAAUAUUACCUUUUAUUAGUAACUCAAAUGAACAGAGCUUUAAAUCUCCAAAUGUUACCCUUUAUGAGUAACCCAAAUGAACAGAGCCUUGAGUCUCCCAAUGUUACCCUUCUAUGGGUAACCCAAAUGAACAGAACUCUAAGUCUCCAAAUAUUACCCUUUUAUGGGUAACCCAAAUAAACAGAGCUCUAAGUCUCCAAAAAUUAUUCUUUAUGGGUAACCCAAAUGAAUGGUAUCAAAAAAAGCCUCCACCCAACACCCAAACGAACUGCAAAUCUGAUAAGAGAGCUGCAAGGCGACUUUGGCAUCCUCUUUAGGUGAACAGUGAGAUACAAAUAUUAUCCUAGAUAGAUAAUACAAAAGAACAGGAGUCCUAAGUCUCCAAAAAUUUAAGACUUGACGAGAGAGAAAAAUAAAUCUCUACGAACCUGGCUCUGAUACCAUGUAGAAAUAUAAUAUUUUAAUGUUGUUGUAUUUCAUAAUAAAAAUUAUGACCUAUUUAUAUAUAAAACCAGGUAUCUAAACAGGAAAGAAAAUCAAGUCUAUGAUUAUACAAUCC